CUAUAAAAGUUCUCCUAUAAUUAUAUUUCCUGUAAACUCACCCAAAAAAGAGUUAUCCAAAGACACCCAAAAAAAUCCUGCCCAAGCGAGACCUUCCCCAGCUCUCUCUCCUCUCCAAUUUUUCAGAUUUCAACGUUCUCUUGGAAUUUUGGUACAAAUGAAGUUUAGCAUAGGUAGAUUUCUCACUUAUAGAGGUCAAUUAAGAAGAAUUUUUCAGAUUUCAACGUUCUCUUGAAAUUUUGGUACAAAUGAAGUUUAGCAUUGGUAGAUUUCUCACUUAUAGAGGUCAAUUAAGAAGAAUUCUUUUGAAGAUAAACUCCUUUCAUUAUACUUCAAUUAAAAAAAUAAUUAUUUUUUUUCGUAGUUUAAUAAUAAAAGGAGUCUAGCCUUUUGUUCCGUUAAAGAGAGUAAAGACUUUUGUUUAGAAAACGUAUAUUUUAUACAAUUUUUUUGGUUUUGGUUUUUUCGAUUUUGAGAAAAAAACAGACAUAAGUUCAUUUCGGUGGUGUUUUGACGUAUGCGGUCUAUCUGUUUUAAUACUUCUUGAUUCUUUUUUUUUUACUUUCAAUUCUGAAUUUUUAUAUAAAAAAAAAUAUUUUUUUUUUUUGAAAGAGAUAUUAAUAAAUUAUGUUCUUAUUUAAUAGAAUUUACUUACUAUAUCGAUAGUUAAAAGUGAUUAUUUGUCUUAUAUAUUUUUAUGAUAAAUCAAAUUACUAAAAAUUACAUUAUAAAUUUUCAAGAAUAAUCUCAAAUAACGAAUAACGUAUAAUUAUCAUCCCUUGAUAUUUUUAAAAAAUAUUAAAAAUUUUGAUUCAUAUUUUUUUUUUUUUAAUAAAAAAUAUAGGUGGGAGUAAAAAAAUUAUAAAAUUUUUUUUUAUAUAAAAUUAAAGGUGAAAGUAAAAGAAAAAAACAAGAAUUAAGGGAAUUAACAAAAAAAUAAAGGGGCUUAUAACAUUUACUAAUUUUUUUUUUUGAUAUAAAAUUCGAUAGUGAAAGUAAAAAAGAAUUAAGGUAUUACAAAAAAGAAUAACGAUAUAUUAAAAAAAGAAUAAAAAGGGUUGAAUCGCAAAUUGUAGUUGAGAAAAUUGAGGAUAACAGUUGAAGUCAAAAAAAAGGUUACAUCCAGGGGGUGGGGUUGUGAGGGGGUGAAAAAAUCAGGUCUCUUAUGUUAGUAUUAGAUUAGAUUAAUUAAUUUAGAUUAAUUAGUUUUCUGAGAAAGUAAUUAAGAACUACCUUAUUUGUGAUUAUUUUUAUUUUUAUUUAUGCUACUGUGAUGAAGAAUCAUCAAAAUUAAUGAAAAUAAAUUAUUAUUAUUUUUUUGCAUAAUGCCUGUGGACACGGACAAUUACUAGUGUGUAAUAAAGAGAAAGUGAUGAACCCAAACGGACGGGUGGAGGUGAUAGUCACUCUACAAAUUUAAAAAAAAAUCUAAUUGUCAAUAUUUUUAAAUUAAACGGUUCGUCACCUCACGCUUCCCCGAGAUCCUAAUUUUAAGGGCCCGUUUGGCACCGCUUUUUCCUGCUUUUUUGGCUUAAAAUAAGCAAAAAAGUCAAUCAGAAGCUUGGCUUUUUGCUUUUCUGUUUUGGCUUUUUUGCUUAGUUUUAGGUAAACUAUAACCCCAAAAGCAAAAAACAAAAAAAUAAUCAAAAAUUCUUAGCCUUUUUGGUGUCAAACUAAAAAAGCUUGGCUUUAGCCUCCCACGGAGCCAAAGCCCUAGGCAUGAAAUGAUGGGGAAAAAAUGAAUGGGGGAAUUUCGUCAUAAACUUUGACAUACCGACACGGCAUGAAAUGAGGGGGAAAAGGCUUGGCCCACGGUCCCCAUAGAGCCUGGUGCAUUCUCAAAAUACCAAAAACGUGCAACAUUUAUAGGACUGUUCUCAGUGUCUCGUCGCACAUGUAAAAUAAGAUACAUUCAAAGAAAAUUAAAAAGAUUUUUAGCAAAAUAAUUUUAUUAUAAUAUUAAGGUAAUAAUUUUUGUAAAUAAAUAUCAAAUGUGUAAUAAAGAGAAAGUGAUGGACUCAAAGGGACGGUAGAGGUGAUAGUCACUCUACAACUUUUAAAAAAUCUAACUAUCAAUAUUUUUAAAUUAACACCUCACGCCUGCCUUCCCGAUAUUCUAAUUUUAAAGAACUUAGGGCAUGUUUGAUUACCUGGAUUAGGCGGGACUGGACUAUGAGUCCAAUCUAGUCCCGCAUUUGUUUUUUCAAAAUAGCUCCGGACUACUAGUCCAAAAAGACCAAAUAGUCCCCGAUACAUAGGACAAGGAGACCUUGGGUGUUUCUUGGUUUUGUUAGUCCGCCAAGUAAUUCAAGAACUACUUAAUCAAUCCGGGUAAUCAAACAAGCCCACAUAUCUCUAUGUCUCAUCAUCCUAUGAGAGGUGUAAAGAUGACGGACUCGUACAAAAGCUAGCAGAUGCUCGUAGGAGGUUAUAAAGAUCUUGGGAAAAUAAAAAAAAAAGUUGUUGACCUCAGUAAGGAAGUAAUUUUUAUAGUUUUAAUUACAUCCAAUUAAAUUCAAUAAACCUAACUAGUCUUUAAAAAAUAAAAAUAAACUUUAAACGCGAUCAGUCUGUAAUCGGGGGGAUGCAACCAGAGAUCACUUUGUUUUCAUCACAAAUCAAAAAAUAAUUUUACACUUUAACAUUAACUUGAAAAUUAGUCAUAAUUGCAUCAAUGAAGGUUUUAAAGAGUGACAACUUUCAAAUACAUCAUUUUUUUUAAAAAAAAUUACAAAAAUCAAUUGAUUUUGUCUAGCCUACUGAAACAGUGACGGACAAAGGUUUUUAAUUGUUUCAAGAUCAAAACUUUAACUAAUUUCUAAAAGAAUUUUUUAGCAAAAUAAUUUUUUAUAAAUCUUAGCUAAUUGUUUUUUUCUUACAAAAAUAUCAAAUGUGUAAUUGAAAUCAUAAAUAAUUAAACGUAAGUUUUAAUUUGUUAUUGAUGUCAAACCUAAGUUUUUUUUUGUAAUUUUCCCCAAAGAUAAAUGAUGCUACUUGCUUUUUUUUUCCUUAAAAAUAGCAAAUAUGGAAUAUAACAAAGUCUUCUCUGUCUCGUCGUUCUGCUGGAUGACAACAGUUGACACAUGAAGCACAGAUAAAGAAUGUUUAACAAAUAUCUUUUUUGAAAAUGUUAGCUAUUGUUUUUCUUAGAAAAAAUAUCAAGUGUGUAAAUAUAUAUUAUAUAUAUUAUAUAUAUAUAUAUAUAUAUAUAUAUAUAUAUAUAUAUAUAUUUUUUUUUUUUUUUUCUACUAUAAUCGAUAAUAUAUACACGUAUGUAUCGAGGAAUGGGGGCUAGGGGCGAUCACACAUCAAAGUUAAAUCCGAAUUUCUAGUAACAUUAACCACCACAAAUAUUUUUAAAUUAUAAAAUUAAAAUUAGUGUAUAAAUUUUAUACAUGAGAUACAAAUUUCAUGGUUUGUAUGUACAUUUGCUUCCUCAAAAUUAUAAAAUUCCAUGAGAUAUAAAUGCACAUGUCCCCUAUCUGUCUCGUCAUUAUGACCGGCAGUUGAACCAUGAUACAUAAGGCUAGAAAGAUUUUUAACAAAAUAAAUUUGAAUAAAUUUCAUUGACAUCUCUUAAAAAAAAAUAUCAACACACCAUUAAACUUAAUGGAUAUUAUCUUUUUUCUCAAAAUAAAUCUACUUGUUUAGAUUUUCUAAUGAAAUCAAUUAUUUUUAAUUAAAAAUAUGAAAGCCCUAAAUUUAAGGACAAUGUCGUCAUUUCUAAAAAAAAAACUAGUGGGGAGAAUGUUGAUAAGUAAAAAAAAAAAGAUUUUGCUGGUUUAAAAAUUAUAAGGAAGGUGAUUGUAAAAGUUAGUUAAUUGUUUUUCUUAAAAAAUAUCAAAUGUGUAAUAUAAAUAUCAAAUAUUUUUUAAUGAAUAAUUUUUAAAAUUAUAUUAUUUUUUUCUUCACAUUAAUAGAUUAAAAAAGUAAAAUGAAAAAAAAACACUAUAAAAGUUCUCCUAUAGUUAUACUUCCUGUAAACUCACCCAAAAAAGAGUUAUCCAAAGAAUCCAAAAAAAAUCCGCCCAAGCGAGACCUUCCCCAGCUCUCUCUCCUCACCAAUUUUUCAGAUUUCAACAUUCUCUUGGAAUUUUGGUACAAAUGAAGUUUAGCAUUGGUAGGUUUCUCACUUAUAGAGGUCAAUUAAAGAGACUUUCUUUGAAGAUGAACUUCUCCUAUUAUUAGGAGUGUCAACGGUCCGGAUUGAUCCGGAUUGGUAUGAAUUCAAGACCGAAUCAAAAGUCUACGGUUUAAGAAAAUACAAUCCGUAUGUAGACCAAAAAUCUACGGUUCGAUUUCGAAAAAAUCAAAAAAUUCACGAUUCGGAUCAUGAUUAAUUCACGGGUUAUUACAUUCAACGAAAUUAAAAAAAAUAUUUCAUGGUAGCCAUAUAACAAACUGCAUUAAAAAAGAACAAGUAGCACUAAAACACAAAUUGAAAAAGUAUAAACUAA
Molecule: long non-coding RNA, 4457 nt
Filed under: Actinidia chinensis (golden kiwifruit)
Lineage: Eukaryota; Viridiplantae; Streptophyta; Magnoliopsida; Ericales; Actinidiaceae
Description: long non-coding RNA (ACHI_LNC001030)
Source: RNAcentral